GACAGAGGGUGCAAACGUUUGUUCGGAAUUACUGGGCGUAAAGCGCGUGUAGGCGGCCAACUAAGUCGGGCGUGAAAUCCCACGGCUCAACCGUGGAAGUGCACUCGAAACUGGAUGGCUAGAGUCCUGGAGAGGAAGGUGGAAUGCUUGGUGUAGAGGUGAAAUUCGUAGAUAUCAAGCGGAACACCGGUGGCGAAGGCGGCCUUCUGGACAGUGACUGACGCUGAGACGCGAAAGCGUGGGGAGCGAACAGG
This 254-nucleotide ribosomal RNA is filed under the name uncultured bacterium. RNAcentral's name for it is "partial 16S ribosomal RNA". It matches the Rfam family "Bacterial small subunit ribosomal RNA", at positions 524 to 776 of the family's 1533-position model. The record is from RNAcentral.